CUCCUCUAUGUUUUAGUUACUACAGUGUAUGUGAAAUUGUGAGUGGUUGAGCUGCUCAUUGUCGAGUCAGACUUGUACUGUCAUAUAUAUGUUUUGAGUCAUACGUAUCUUUGUGAUUGUGGUUAAUUCUAGUAACCGUGGUGUUGCAUAUUCGUGAUUGUGGUUAAUUCUCUAAAUUUCUGUAAACAUUGAGCAGUGUAUGUGUUGUAAUGUUCAGAUCAAACUAGUUCUUGGAAUUGCUAUUUGUUCACUAUUGUACUUGUAAGGUAUAGUUCAUGUUAUGUGUGAUCAGUGCUAGCUUUGUCCCUGUGACAUCUAUGUUUGUGAUAUGAAUCAUCUAUCUCCUGUCAUAUAACUCUGUUCUUUCCAUGUAUCUUAUAAUUGCUAGUUUUGUAUACAUAAAUGUGAUCUUGUCUUGUUAAUCCCAUUUGUUUAGGAUGUUUGCCUGCAGUUUCUAUUUUCUCAAAUAAAAAAUUAAUACCAAAAAGACCGAGUAAAAUCUGAAUCUCCCUGUGCUCUUUGCAUUUUCUUUGUCGUCGACUUUGGUUAGUUUAGGUCUAUAUUUCCUCGCAAUCAUCAUCUGAAUUAUGUCACCUAGCCUUAGCCGAGCAUCGUUGCUGUCGCCUAGUCCCUGUGGAGAACACGACACUCGUAGUUUGGGCGUAAAACCCCACUGUACUCACAAUAGAUCAAUUUGGCGACGUUGCCGGGGACUAGCGUCAAGCGAUUAUGUUGGCUAUAGACUAGGCUUAUUAUAGUUCCGUGUUUAAUUCGUCGUGUAUUUCAUUAUCUGUGUUUCUUUUAUAUUUUUUCCUUGAUAUUGCUUCGGCUUAUUAGGAUACUAACCUUCUGACUAGUGUUUUACUGUUUAUGAGUGUGCGUAGGAAAUCUGAACUAACUGCAAGUUGUUCUAUAGUUACACUUGGUUAAGAUGGCAUUGCUUCGUGAUCUUUGGAUGCCCAAAAGUCAAUCUUAUAUCACAGGACUGGUUUGGCCAACUAUUGAAGUAGAGAACUACGAGCUGAAACCUAGUCUUUUUGCUUUGGUUCAAUAAUGUCAGUUUGGAGGACGGCCUACUGAGGAUCCCUAUGAGCACUUACACCGAGUCAUGGAGUAUUCAGAUACAGUCAAGUACCACAGAGUUCCUCAAGACACAAUCAUGUGCAGGUUGUUCACAUUCUCUCUCUGUGAUGAUGCUCGUGCUUGGUACCAAUCCUUGCCAUCAAGGUCAUACAAUUGGAUUGAGAUAUCACAAGCAUUCUUGGAUAAAUAUUUCCCACUACACAAGAAGUCCGCGAUUCGAGAUGAUAUCUUCAACUUUGUUCAGUGUGAAGGUGAGAGUUUGUAUGAUGCUUGGGAGAGGUACAAAGCCUUGUUCAGGAGAUGUCCUAAUCAUGGGCUCGAGAGAUGGUUAGAGCUGCAGAUAUUCUAUAGAGGAUUGACUUUGGACACUCGUGCUUACAUUGACAUGGCAGCGGGUGGAGCUAUUACAAAUAAGACACUUGAUGAUGCUUUUCUGUUGAUUGAGAGCAUAGCUUUCCACCAACUUCAGUGGUACAAUAAGAAGCCCAUGUCUGAUUCAUUAGUUUGCUUGCAACAAAUCACUAUUCCUCAGCCAUCAAUUCUUACACAGAAGCCUGAACCUCUAUCUCAGUGUGACAAGAUUGAGUUUACAUGGAUUAUCUUUGAUGAUGAUGACGCCAUUCUAGUUGACACACACGCUACAGAUCAUAUGGAUACUAGUGUUGGAGAUUCGGUUUUGCAUUGUGAUGAUUCUUCCAUGGAUGAGCCUGAGUUGCAGUUAGUUGCUUUUGAUAUUGAGGAGUCACCUUCGGUUAAUAUAGAUCAUGUGCUGCCUGAACCAGACAUGGAGAAGUUCACCUUUGAUGAUGUUAGCCACAUCGAUUCUUCAACGCUUGAGCCUGAGAUGGAAAUCUUCAUUGUUGAUUAUGAUGAGGUCACUUCAGAUGUCAAGGAGCAAAGCUCUACUAUUUCACCUGUCGAUACGAGCCAGGUGGAAGUUUCUACUACCAUGCCUUCCAUGGUAUCUUCAGUUGAGGUAGUCAUAAAACUUCUCCAAGGCCAUCUCAGGUAUUAUCUCAGCUUUCUGGAUAAGUUAUGUCAUAUCGCUGAUAUUGCCUAUGCACCAUGUGACUUGUUGUUGAUACAUGUUCCUGAUUUGCUCAAUAGAUAUACUUAUAUGAUAGGGUACUCAAUCGAUGACUUAAAGGGCAUUCUCUCUAUCACUUGUAUUGGCUUGGUUGUUGAGUGUUCUUUCAGGUUGAUGCUUGUGCACCAUUUACUGCGAGUUGACCGAGUUCGAGAUGACAUUCCCUGGGAUCCUGGUGGAUUCACGACAUGGUGAUGAGGAGAAGCAAUGGGCAUACGCGAAGAAGAGUGAAGCUGGAGCAGGCAUGGGGAUAGACAAGCAAAAAGAGAAGAGCUAAAGUUUAGAGAGUGUUGAGCGAGUGCAACUUCCUAUAUAAACCCCGUGAGCUAUUUCAUGUCCCCAAUCUGAAUAUAUCAUCCAUUGAUACAUGCUGAAAUCAAUUUCUAUUUGGGUUGCUUGAGCCAUUUCUUAAACGUUGUCCCAUUGAAUUUUACCUUUGACAUAUGGUGCUUGAUGUGAAUAUGUACACUGAUUUGUGGAUGCCUUGUAAACUAGUGAUCUACAUACUGCUUGCUUUGCUGAAAUUAGUGAAAGUUAUUAGUUUUGAGUGCUCAAAUCCCUAGUACCCUAGAAAACUUCAUCAUUUUCUGCAUUUACUUUGAUACACCUAGAUCAUCAUAUGUUAGAUGCUGAUUUUGUGCCAAGUGUGUUCCCCUUCAGAGCAAUCAUUCACCACUAUGGACUAGCAUACUAUGUUCCUUGGAUCAGUAGUAUGUGAACCAGACCUGGAUGAGUGAUGAUUCUUGUUUCCUUUUUGUAUUCAUUUGUGAAAAAGUAAUAAUGAAUAAAUAAGUCUGACUACCUAGAGUAGCAUGUCAUGUUCCCUGGAUCGGUGGCAUGUGAAAUUGGGUUAGCUUGGGCAGUAAUUACUAAUAAAAAUGUAAUUGUCGAACCAGGUGUAUACCAUGUUCUUGGGAUCGGUGGUAUGUUCCUUUGAGGAGACAAACAAAAAAACUAAUAAUUGGUUGAGCCAGGUGUAUACCAUGUUCUCGGGAUCGGUGGUAUGUUCCUUUGGUGAGACCGAUAAAAUAUUAUCAUUACUUCCUUCAAAUUCAAUAAGUGCUUCAACCAUAAUGUUAUGUUCCUAGUAUUAAGUUUCUUUUUUUGGGACCAUGCUCUCUUUAGGAACCCUUUGGUGUAAUCAGCAUUUGAACUUGUUGAUCCAAUUGUAUCUUUGUAGAAGUUUAAAAUGAUUGAGUUUACUAGUGUCCUAUUGCUCUGUAGCACUCUUAACCAUUGAUUUUCACUAGCUAAGUCCAAAGCAUGCAUUGUUUAGAGAUAUACUUCACUUGACAUUCUCUAUCAGUUCACUGUUCAUAUUCUUGCUCUUGUCAUAUGCCUUUGCUUGAGGAUAAGCAAAUAUUUAAGUGUGGGGGAACUUGAUAAGCGCAUUUCAUAUACAUUAUUUUAUGCUCAAAUAUACCAUUAAUUGAGAUAUACCCAUCCAUUCUUGCUACGAAUUGUUGAAUAUUCAAAUGAUAAUCAUAAAAGAGAAUGUUGACUAGUGAAUUGUUUAUUUUGCAAAAAAGUGCGCAAAGGCACUAUAAACUUCAAGAUUCGAUCGAUUGCCAAAUGCAAUGAGACUUGGGGGUGGAACGAGAGAACAAGGGACUUGAGCGAGAAGAAAAGAAGUGUCCAUGGUAAAGUUAAUGUUGGAGGAUCAUCUUGAGAAGAAAGAAAGGAAGCAGGAGGGCCAAGGUGAAAAAAUGGCAGAUCAUAGGAGGAGGUCAAAAUCCCUAGACGCCCUGAUUCCCAAAAUCGGGCCUAGCAUAUCUCCAUCUCUCUCCCUCGAUCCACUUCUUCUCCACCCUCCGGCCGCCGCCGCGGCUAGGCCGUCGUGGUGGCGUGCCAUCCAUCCAGCCACCACUCCAUCAUCCACUCCAUCUCCACCACCCGCCGCUGCCAGCGUCCCAGCACCACCUCGAACCACCGCGCCAUCCAUCAACAUCUCCAUCUUCCUCCGGCCACCGCUUCGGCCAGGCCGGCGUGGUGGUGCACCUCCCAUCCAUCAGCGCCGCAAGUCACCACCAUCUCCGUCCAUCUCCACCAGCGCCAUCCUCCCAGCCAGCCAGCAGCACUGUCCAUCAUUCUCUGCCGCCGCCGCGCUACUCCAUCAACCUCUGCUGCUCCCUCUCCUUGACGCCCAGCUGCCGCUCCUCCUUCCCAAACCUUGCCGCUGAUCCUUCUACUCUUCUCCAUCUCCUAUUGCUUCCCUUGCUCUGCUUCUUCCUUUGCCUCGUUCUAGCUCCACAUUCUACCAAUUCCUCUCACAUCUUUGCUGCUGCUCCUUCCUCCUUAAUUCCCUCCUUCUCUGAACCAAAACUAUUGUUCUUCUCUAAAGUAUGAACCGUCUACUGCUAUUGUUCCUGUUUCACAAACCUGAGCUUCUCUCCUUCUCUCACUCUUUGUAAUUUCUGAAAACUGUAAUGUAAACUUUGCGUAUUGUUCGGUAUAGAUGAUUCGUGCCUCCUCUAUGUUUUAGUUACUACAGUGUAUGUGAAAUUGUGAGUGGUUGAGCUGCUCAUUGUCGAGUCAGACUUGUACUGUCAUAUAUAUGUUUUGAGUCAUACGUAUCUUUGUGAUUGUGGUUAAUUCUAGUAACCGUGGUGUUGCAUAUUCGUGAUUGUGGUUAAUUCUCUAAAUUUCUGUAAACAUUGAGCAGUGUAUGUGUUGUAAUGUUCAGAUCAGACUAGUUCUUGGAAUUGCUAUUUGUUCAGUAUUGUACUUGUAAGAUAUAGUGCAUGUUAUGUGUGAUCAGUGCUAGCUUUGUCCCUGUGACAUAUAUGUUUGUGAUAUGAAUCAUCUAUCUCCUGUCAUAUAACUCUG
RNAcentral lists this long non-coding RNA (4996 nucleotides) under Triticum aestivum (bread wheat). RNAcentral's name for it is "long non-coding RNA (TAES_LNC025560)". Lineage: Eukaryota; Viridiplantae; Streptophyta; Magnoliopsida; Poales; Poaceae. The record is from RNAcentral.